Molecule: microRNA precursor, 93 nt
Filed under: Pelobates cultripes (western spadefoot toad)
Lineage: Eukaryota; Metazoa; Chordata; Amphibia; Anura; Pelobatidae
Source: RNAcentral
CUCCAGAUGUUGCUGAACUGCAACUCCCAUGCUUCUAUGAAUGAAAUAGAUAGUCUGAGAAUCAUGGGAAUUGUAGUUCAGCAACAUCUGGAG